RNAcentral lists this ribosomal RNA (519 nucleotides) under uncultured bacterium. RNAcentral's name for it is "bacterial SSU rRNA". It matches the Rfam family "Bacterial small subunit ribosomal RNA", at positions 338 to 853 of the family's 1533-position model. The record is from RNAcentral.
CCUACGGGGGCAGCAGUAAGGAAUAUUGGACAAUGGUCGCAAGACUGAUCCAGCCAUGCCGCGUGCAGGAUGACAGCCCUAUGGGUCGUAAACUGCUUUUGUGCGAGAAAAAACCCCUCUACGUGUAGAGGGCUGAUUGUAUCGUAAGAAUAAGGAUCGGCUAACUCCGUGCCAGCAGCCGCGGUAAUACGGAGGAUCCAAGCGUUAUCCGGAUUCAUUGGGUUUAAAGGGUGCGUAGGCGGAAUGAUAAGUCAGUGGUGAAAGCCUGCAGCUUAACUGCAGAACUGCCAUUGAUACUGUCAAUCUUGAGUACAUUUGAUGUGGGCGGAAUGUGUCAUGUAGCGGUGAAAUGCUUAGAUAUGACACAGAACACCGAUUGCGAAGGCAGCUCACAAAACUGUAACUGACGCUGGAGCGACGAACGACGUAGGUAGUACAACAGAGUAGUAUACCUACGUAGUCGACGCUCGUAACUAAUAGUAUUACUACGUAUGUUGUCGAUACACUAGUAGCGUCGUA